This is a long non-coding RNA of Oncorhynchus keta (chum salmon), 344 nucleotides long. RefSeq lists it as uncharacterized. The record is from RefSeq and is a predicted model, not a curated record. NCBI's taxonomy places the organism in Eukaryota, Metazoa, Chordata, Actinopteri, Salmoniformes, Salmonidae. The transcript has 3 exons.
CAGGUAUUCUGCCACUGUGUACUCUCUGUUUAGGGUCAGUCACAGUGGUCAGGUAUUCUGCCACUGUGUACUCUCUGUUUAGGGUCAGUCACAGUGGACAGGUAUUCUGCCACUGUGUACUCUCUGUUUAGGGUCAGUCACAGUGGUCAGGUAUUCUGCCACUGUGUUCUCUCUGUUUAGGGUCAGUCACAGUGGUCAGGUAUUCUGCCACUGUGUUCUCUCUGUUUAGGGUCAGUCACAGUGGUCAGGUAUUCUGCCACUGUGUACUCUCUGUUUAGGGUCAGUCACAGUGGUCAGGUAUUCUGCCACUGUGUUCUCUCUGUUUAGGGUCAGUCACAGUGGUC